AUUACCGGGGCGGUGCGAUCGCUCCACCGGAGUUCCCCGGCGGCCCGCGGAGCCCGAGCGCCCGCCCCCGCGCCCCCACCUGACGGGCCCCGCGGGCUGCGCGCGCUUCCUGUGGUACCGGAGCGCGCACCGCGGGGUCCCGCACGGCUUUACCCGAAUCUGGGUUUUUUUACCCCUCUCCUCUGCGCAGCCGGGGUGCGGGGGGGGGCGGCGCUGUUUGCUCGCUCCCCAGGCAGAGGCCGGUCUUGUUUGACAUCGGAUGUUUGGUCCCGCUUACUGCCGAGCCUGGCUCGGAGCCAUCGCACUUAGGGCGAGCAACUACGGUAAGGAAAUCACUAAUGCUGAGUAGCCGAACUGGCUGCUACCAAUGACCAAACCCAACAACAUACCCGCACUUAAGUUAAACCCACACAGUGGUCAGUAGGUAACCCAGGUUAAGGAAAGCAAAGAGGAAGGAGGAGAGAAAAAUGUAUUUCGCAUUUCAUGUAUUUACCCAUUUUAUUGUCAAGAUGCUAUCCUGGCUAUAUACAGGUUUGUAUUUCUUGUUUAUAAAGAGGUAAUUUUAUUCCUUCUGAAUUUCAAAGAGAAACAUAAGCAAGCAUCAAAUCUGGACCUUCAGAGGUCUUGAACCUUUUCAAAACCUGUCAUUCUUCAAUAUUCAACACAUAAGGUGCCUCAUCCAGGUACUGAAAAUCUCCAAAGCAGUUCAGGACUGGAUUGUGUAAAUAUCUUCUGUUGAAAUUCAGUAAGCAACCUAGCAAUGCUGAGAACCCAAGCACAUUUCCUCAUCGAGAGCCAUUAGACUUCCUUCAGUUUGAAAACACUCACUGCACAGUCCCUCGUCAGUCAAGUACAGCGAACGCAACUUGAAGCUAAAUUCCACUCUCUGUGAUUGGAAAUAGCUGCAACUGGACUCAGAAGUAUUAUUUCAUUCUUUUUAGCUUCCAUACUUCUACAGGACAUUUGAAUGAGCUAACAAGACACUUGAAGAAAGUGCGUUAGUAUCAAACUGUGCAGCAAUCUUCUCACCAAUACCUUGGGUUUGGACUUCAGUCACAGGAGCAGGACUAAGUCCUCAAGCCAGUUAGCCACUGUGAAGAUCACAUUUAUUUUCUAUUAAGAUAAAUUUUAUUGUCUAACAUACUUUAAAGUAAUAGUUCUUUCAUUUUUAUCCUGCCCUAAAAGGUCUUUGUUCUUCAAUAUUUAACUGUUCUUUAUCCUAAAAUACACAUAAACACACACACGUGCACACACAAAGAGUAAAACUGAAGAGGUCCUUCUACUGUUGGUCAUGUUUUAUCCCUGCAAGACAAGAAUUUACUGCCUGCAGAUCCCAUUUUACUGCUGACAAAGCAUUCAGGACUCAUUUUGCUGUCUUGUUCCCUGCCCCCUCUGGAGAAAACUGUAUUUCCUUUCUGGGAUACACAUGUGGAUCUAUUGUACUGCAAGAACUGAAGACCAGUUACGAAAUGGUGAACAUUUUCUUGUUUCUUUCUAUACAACUGUUUUGGGCAGUUACUGUUAAAAGGUUAAGAUGAAAAAAAAAAAAAACAACCCUUCACAGAACAACGGCCACAAGAACUAUGGGGGGCAAAGUCUGAAGAGUAACUCCUGGAUAUGGCACUAACUGGCAAAUUCUCAUUUACUUAAAGUGAAAAAAGCUAUUCAGAACUACUUUUUCUAGCUUUGCUGUGCUUGCAAAGCAGCAAGAGCAUCUCAUUAUAGAAGGUACGGAGUAGAUACAGCCAGCAUGUUUACUUCCAAGAUCUGUGCAAAGGAAGAGCUAAUAAGGAAUGAACAUGCCAAUCAGACACUAUUUGUUUAGGUUUUCAUUCUCAUAAUCUCUCUUACAAAACCAAACCUAGCUAUUGUUAAUUUCAAUUUUCAUCAGUUUCUAGUACUUCUAUACCUUAGUGUUUUAUUUACAAACUAUAUGGAGUAUUGCUUAUUUGCUGCUGGAAUUUAAACAUUUUAAGAGUUCUUUAAAAAAAUAAAAGGUAAAAGCUUAAGCUUCAAAAUCUCAGUCUUUGUUCUGGCUUAGCU
Pezoporus occidentalis (night parrot) is the source of this 2043-nucleotide long non-coding RNA. RefSeq lists it as uncharacterized. Lineage: Eukaryota; Metazoa; Chordata; Aves; Psittaciformes; Psittacidae. The record is from RefSeq and is a predicted model, not a curated record. The transcript has 3 exons.